This 392-nucleotide long non-coding RNA is filed under the name Mus musculus (house mouse). RNAcentral describes it as "long non-coding RNA chr7:11853956-11854348". Lineage: Eukaryota; Metazoa; Chordata; Mammalia; Rodentia; Muridae. The record is from RNAcentral.
AUGGUUUACUUUAAGCAAUAGGAUAACUGCACUAUAUACAGUCUUACUGUGUUUCUCAGAUGCUCUGUGUCUGGGUCUUAUGAUCUGCUCAAGUGUCUGUAUAGUAAGCAUCCUCUAAAACUUAUAAGAGACAUGUUACGCAUGUCCGUAGUGCUCAGCACUUCCUGAAAGUGUCUCAUGAAGAUAGAGCCCCACCAAACUAUGCUCAUCUUACUGUGAAUAUUUGUCAGAUCUUACUCAUUCUUUUGCAUCCUGGCUGUCUUUAGGGCCUGCUGCAAAUAUCCAGUGUUAUGGAGAGUAUAGAAAUAAGUUUAUCCAUAGUUUGCCGCGUUGUUUUCAUCAACAAUAUGAAGUCUAGAUUUAGCCUGUUUUUACCCUGCUUUGGUAAGAGA